UUUGGCUGCACACCUCCUUCUAGAUGCAGAAAGCUCCAGAGUUGGAGCCUGGUGACGGUGGGACACAUGCUACUAGACUCCCAAUAAUGCACUAUACGUGAGGCCGAUAUCAAUGCACGUGGAGCGUGCGGAGUACAUGGCCCAAAUCGCCCUUUCGCGAGUCGUAUUACAAUUCAUUGGCCGAAGUGUUUACACCCGCGUUGGAUUAGGUAGUUGUUGGGGUAAUGGCCUACCAAGCCGACGAUCCAUAGCUGGUUUGAGAGGAUGAUCAGCCACACUGGGACUGAGACACGGCCCAGACUCCUACGGGAGGCAGCAGUGGGGAAUCUUAGACAAUGGGGGAAACCCUGAUCUAGCCAUGCCGCGUGAGUGACGAAGGCCCUAGGGUCGUAAAGCUCUUUCGCCAGGGAAGAUAAUGACGGUACCUGGUAAAGAAGUCCCGGCUAACUCCGUGCCAGCAGCCGCGGUAAUACGGAGGGGACUAGCGUUGUUCGGAAUUACUGGGCGUAAAGCGCACGUAGGCGGACCAUUAAGUCAGGGGUGAAAUCCUGGGCUUAACCCCAGAACUGCUUUGAUCUGC
RNAcentral lists this ribosomal RNA (580 nucleotides) under uncultured Antarctic soil bacterium. RNAcentral's name for it is "bacterial SSU rRNA". It matches the Rfam family "Bacterial small subunit ribosomal RNA", at positions 1 to 636 of the family's 1533-position model. The record is from RNAcentral.